Molecule: ribosomal RNA, 301 nt
Filed under: uncultured bacterium
Lineage: Bacteria
Description: partial 16S ribosomal RNA
Rfam family: Bacterial small subunit ribosomal RNA
Source: RNAcentral
CAGUCGCCGCGGUAAAACGGAGGGUGCAAGCGUUAAUCGGAAUUACUGGGCGUAAAGCGCACGCAGGCGGUCUGACAAGUCAGAUGUGAAAUCCCCGGGCUUAACCUGGGAACUGCAUUUGAAACUGUCAGGCUGGAGUCUUGUAGAGGGGGGUAGAAUUCCAGGUGUAGCGGUGAAAUGCGUAGAGAUCUGGAGGAAUACCGGUGGCGAAGGCGGCCCCCUGGACAAAGACUGACGCUCAGGUGCGAAAGCGUGGGGAGCAAACAGGAUUAGAUACCCCGGUAGUCCCUGUCUCUUAUAC